AUCCCAUGGUGAGGACACGCUAGAAUGUUCUCCUGAAGCCUCUUCCAUGCUUCAGAUAUAGACUCAUUUGAUGCCUGCUGGAAACUGGAGAUUCUCCCUCGGGGAGC
Panicum hallii is the source of this 107-nucleotide small nucleolar RNA. Lineage: Eukaryota; Viridiplantae; Streptophyta; Magnoliopsida; Poales; Poaceae. The record is from RefSeq and is a predicted model, not a curated record.